RNAcentral lists this long non-coding RNA (263 nucleotides) under Lathyrus oleraceus (garden pea). Its description in RNAcentral is "Pisum sativum (pea) long non-coding RNA (PSAT_LNC018793)". Lineage: Eukaryota; Viridiplantae; Streptophyta; Magnoliopsida; Fabales; Fabaceae. The record is from RNAcentral.
CUUUCACAUCAUAUUUACAAAACAGAUGUUUCUUUUCUAUAUUUUUAUUUUCAAUGCUUGCUCGGUUUUUCUCUUUUUCUUUUUUUAGAGUUGUGGUACUUACCGAUUCUCCCCAACUUAUUUCUUACUCACCCUAAGUGAAUGCUCUUAACUUUUUACGGCAAAAGAACAAUAAUCAAGAUUUUCUGGGUUGUAAAAAAAAGAUUUUUGAAAUCUCGCUUUAUUUCAAGCUGAGAUUCAACUGUUUAAGCUCAAAUGGGUUA